This 451-nucleotide ribosomal RNA is filed under the name uncultured Fibrobacter sp. RNAcentral describes it as "bacterial SSU rRNA". It matches the Rfam family "Bacterial small subunit ribosomal RNA", at positions 341 to 792 of the family's 1533-position model. Lineage: Bacteria; Pseudomonadati; Fibrobacterota; Fibrobacteria; Fibrobacterales; Fibrobacteraceae. The record is from RNAcentral.
ACGGAAGGCAGCAGUGGGGAAUAUUGCACAAUGGGGGGAACCCUGAUGCAGCAACGCCACGUGUGGGAAGAAGCAUUUCGGUGUGUAAACCACUGUCGUGAGGGAAUAAUGCUUGAUUUCGGUCCAGUUGAAUGUACUUUGAAAGGAAGCACCGGCAAACUUCGUGCCAGCAGCCGCGGUAAUACGAGGGGUGCAAGCGUUGUUCGGAAUCACUGGGCGUAAAGGGAGCGCAGGCGGAGAUGCAAGCAGUCUGUACAAUCCCGGGGCCCACCCCCGGGCCUGCAGCCUGGCCUGUUUCUCUUGGAUAGCUCAGGGGCUGGCGGAAUUCCUGGUGUAGCGGUGGAAUGCGUAGAGAUCAGGAAGAACACCGAUGGCGAAGGCAGCCAGCUGGGGGCCUAUCGACGCUCAUGCUCGAAAGUGCGGGUAGCAAACAGGAUUAGAUACCCUGGUA